RNAcentral lists this ribosomal RNA (478 nucleotides) under uncultured bacterium. RNAcentral describes it as "partial 16S ribosomal RNA". It matches the Rfam family "Bacterial small subunit ribosomal RNA", at positions 28 to 507 of the family's 1533-position model. The record is from RNAcentral.
GAUGAACGCUGGCGGCGUGCUUAACACAUGCAAGUCGAACGAGAAGUGAAGACGGUCACCUUCGGGCGGAAGGCUUUAUUUAGAGUGGCGGACGGGUGAGUAAAGCGUGGGUAACCUGCCUCAUACAGGGGGAUAACAGUUGGAAACGACUGUUAAUACCGCAUAAGACCACAGCACCGCAUGGUGCGGGGGUUAAAGCUCCGGUGGUAUGAGAUGGACCCGCGUUAGAUUAGCCAGUUGGAGGGGUAACGGCCCACCAAAGCGGGGAUCGAGAGCCGAUCUGAGAGGAGGCCCGGCCACAGUUGGACUGAGACACGGCCCAGACGCCUACGGGAGGCAGCGGUGGGGACUAUUGCAGAGUGGGGGCAGGCCUGAUGCAGCGACGCGGGGUGUGAGAAGAAUUAUUUCGGGAUGUAAAGCUCUAUCAGCAGUGAAGAAAAUGACGGUACCUGGGGAAGAAGCCCCGGCUAACUACGUG